RNA transcript from Chenopodium quinoa (quinoa), 3287 nucleotides. It is a transcript of the gene named zinc finger CCCH domain-containing protein 62-like, with no coding region annotated. The transcript is spliced from 10 exons. Lineage: Eukaryota; Viridiplantae; Streptophyta; Magnoliopsida; Caryophyllales; Amaranthaceae. The record is from RefSeq and is a predicted model, not a curated record.
UCCGCUGAAAUGGAGAAGAAACUUUAAACACUUAAGAUAUUUUUCACUCCGUGUAUAAUAAAUUUAAUGAGAUGUGACUUACAUCACGCCUAUAAUUCUCUCCUAGACUCCUACGCCGUAUAAAAAAUUUUCGGGUACGAUGCUUUCAAAUGAGUCCAGUUUAUAUAUGUCCAUCUCAAGUCCUGAAAUCCAUCAGAUUCCUUCGCGGGCUAAAGAAUUGGGUCCCGCCUGUAAAAGUGUAACCUAUAAAAUACGCCCCUAAAACCAUAGGAGAGAGAAACAACCAAGUGUACUCUUCAUUCUAAACGAAACCCUUUUUUAUCUCCGAUUCACCGGAAUUCCAUUCAUUCCGCUCUAUUUUCCCUCUCUUUCUCUCUCUAUAAUGCUAUAGUAUCUGCAAUGACAAGCAACAAAGGAAAGAAUUUCUUGAUUAAUCUUUCUUCAUCUUCUUCUUCCGACGAUAAUGGCGACGAUGACGACACCGCCUCCGAUUCUGCUUCAUCUUCUAGCGGAGAUGAAUGUGAAUUGAUUGAUGAUGACGAUGAUUACGAGAUUGAAGAUGAUGAAUCUGAGGAAGAUGAUUGCUUAAAAGAUGACUUCCGUGGAACUGAAGAUGAUGAUCAUUGUCUCUCUAAUCGAGUCAUUCAGUUUCUUCAAGGAAGACGUGAUUUGCAAGAGUUAAGUCUUAAAGCAUGCAAAGCAUAUUUGAGAAGACAUGAUCUUAGACUAUCAGGGAACAAGGACGAGUGUAUUCGUAGGGUGCAAGAGCACCAUAGGAUAAAAGACGGGAAAGCUGAAAUUCUCUACCCAAGCUCAUCCUUUGUCAUCAAUUGCACAGGUGAUGUCUGCAAGGGAGAUACUGUCCUCUUCAAACAAAAAGUGUAUGGAAGAAGUUUUGACAAAGUGACAAGACAAGGUAAACUUUUGGGGAAAAGAACAGUUGCUGGACGAGUCGUGAAAGAAAGCUAUGGUGCAGCCAAGCAACAACAUACAUUCACAGUUGAGGUACUAUGGAGCAAGGGAAUAAAGAAACUGCCUUCUCUCUUUCCUUUGCUUGUCAAGGGCCGAAAUCUCUAUAGAUUGAAGACCUGCAGGCAGCCAUGGAAGAACGAGGGAGAAAGAAGAAAAGUUCUUGCAGAAAAGCAUAGACGAGGAACAGCUGCACGAUAUAAGAGAGCAAAGAGGAAGAAUGCUUUAUCUACUGAUAAAGGAGGGAAAUCUCGGAAGGUUUCUCAUCGUGGAAGAUCUUCUCAGUUGAAUUAUCCUAAAGGAGGCAAACAUUUUGGUGCAGAGCAGGGGGACUCAUCUUCAAAAAACCACCAUUACACUAAUCUACAGCGGAAUGUGAAACAAGGAGCUGUAGUAAACUCUAACAGAGAAAAAAAUUUCAAACCUUUCGGGGACCCUCAAAAGCUAGUAUCCCGGGACAACAGGGCUUCUACAUUGCAUUCAUUUCAUGGUGCUUCUCAAAGUUAUUCUGAAUCUCUUGUGGGACCUCAUAGGAGUUCUCCAUUUGGCUUAAAUUCUGCAGCUUUCCUGAGUGAUAUCCCUUAUCAUUACACAAGGGUGAUGCCCGCAGCACAAAAUAGUGAUUUCAGUCAUAGCUCCUUUUGUAAUUCUUAUGACAUUCAAUUACCACGGGUGAAUCUAGUGGACUCGAGGCAGUUUUUCCCUUCAGGGGCUACACUUGGACAAAGGAUGAUUGGUCUUGUGAACUGCUCAAUUCAUGGAUGUCAUGAACCAGGAUCUAAUAGAUGUGUCAUUUCUGCAUGUUGGAGGUGUUGUCAAAGGGUGGGAAUGGUGUGCAAUGUCCAUAGAUGACAACCGAUUCUUUGGUGUUCUUUAUCCAUAUGCGUAUAGAAACUCUCAUCCCUGGUGCAUGCUUCAUGUCUAGCCCUAUUGUUGAGAUGCAUGGGAGUUGGACUCUUCAUAUCUACAGAGCUUAUGUCUGAGGAUUUACUUAUGCGUGGGCCUUUUUGUCAAUUUGCUGAAUGCUUUUCAUCAUCGACCUGGUAUGUUUUUUUGGAUUAUACUAGCAUGACAAUAUGACAUACUGUUUGUUGUCUUUAUGUUAUUUCAUUGACAAAAUUCAGAAGAACAAUGCUAAACUAAUCUAUGUAUGGGUAUUUAGUUAUUUUUGCACAUGCUUUUAUUUAGUCAAAAGGAGAAAAUAGCUCAAGCAAUAUCUUUUUACGCGUUUGUUGCUGCUAGGUAUAUAUUUGUUGAGGGUUAUAAAGCUUUUGUCGACCUAUUCAUCUCCUUCUAGAAUAGCUAUGUUACAGACUUACAGAAAAUGGCCCUUCAAAUGGAAAUAUGACUAGAGGUGGUUCUCACCGAGCUCAGUCUGCUCACCAAUAAAGCUUUUGUUAAUCUCUGAGUUUGACCAUUUAGAGUCGUUUUUGCUUGUCCAUCCUGUGCAUUACCUGACUAUAGUUAACAUUUUAAGUAAGAACACCACUGUUAAAAAGAAUUUAGAAUUAUUGGUGAGCAGACAAUUAACAUCAUGUCGUGUCCACUACUUUUUGAGAUGUUUCAUAAUUGGAUAUUUGAUGUGAAAGUGUUGGAAACACAGAACUUGAAUUUGUUGCCGUAUCACCGUAUGCACAUGAUAGGGCUAAGUCCCCACUAAAUGACGGCCUUGGACCUUUCAUAGAAAUAUCACCUUCUGACUCAUUUCUAAACUUCCCUUUUUGACCGGACUACAUGGUACCUUAACCUCCAUCCAUUCACUUUCCAAUAACAACAAUUCGACCUUCUGAAGGAUACUGGAGUGAAUUUUCUUGUCAGACAGAGAAAAGAAAUUGGUGGGGCCGUUAAGCUUUAAUUAGGCUACAAUAAGUUUGUGUCCUCUAUUACAACACGAAGUCUCCUUAUCUUCCAUGCAACUCUUGCCCCCAUUGUAUGCUCCAUUUUCACUCUUUGUUCCACUGUUUUAGCUAGAUCCUUAUUUUUAGGGCCAAUAGACUUUACUAGAUUCGCCUUCUCAAUUAUUAUAGUUGCCUAAGGCUUUAACGUGGCAUUUUAAGACAUAAUGAUUCAGAAAGCACUUGCCGAUGCCAACAACCUAGGGGUAAAUUAGGGAAAAAACUUCCAACCAGUUUAGUUUGUAGUUAACCAAAGUUCUCUUAGUCUAUUGGCAGUAUGUUCCCUCCUUAGACUCAGCCCAAGUCAUCAACAUUUGUUGUCAAGAGAAGUGCUGGGUAUGCAACAGGUUGGUCUGGUUUUCAGCCUCUUGUUUGGGAUAGAAUUCUGGCAUAGCUGUUUAGGGUUAAGGCGCAUAGGACGGG